This 465-nucleotide ribosomal RNA is filed under the name uncultured bacterium. RNAcentral describes it as "partial 16S ribosomal RNA". It matches the Rfam family "Bacterial small subunit ribosomal RNA", at positions 338 to 795 of the family's 1533-position model. The record is from RNAcentral.
CCUACGGGUGGCAGCAGUAGGGAAUCUUCCACAAUGGGCGAAAGCCUGAUGGAGCAACGCCGCGUGGGUGAAGAAGGUCUUCGGAUCGUAAAACCCUGUUGUUAGAGAAGAAAGUGCGUGAGAGUAACUGUUCACGUUUCGACGGUAUCUAACCAGAAAGCCACGGCUAACUACGUGCCAGCAGCCGCGGUAAUACGUAGGUGGCAAGCGUUAUCCGGAUUUAUUGGGCGUAAAGGGAGCGUAGGUGGGUUGUUAAGUCUGUUGUGAAAGUUUGCGGCUUAACCGGAAGAUUGCAUUUGAUACUGGCAGUCUUGAGUGCAGUAGAGGUAGGCGGAAAUCGAGGUGUAGCGGUGAAAUGCGUAGAUAUAACGAAGAACACCAGUGGCGAAAGCGGCUUACUGGACUGCAACUGACGUUGAUGCUCGAAAGUGUGGGUAGCAAACAGGAUUAGAUACCCUGGUAGUC